AGCCAUGGAAGCCAGAAGCUGAAAUCAAUGAAACCUGGAGAGAAGGGAGAGACCAAAAGAUGCAGCCAUGUGCCUUGCCAAGUGCCUUGCCAAGUGGGAGAGGAGCAAAGGAUCGCUGGCAGCCAGUCUUUGGGAAGAAAGCACCACCUUGAUGAUGCCUUGAUUUGGACAUCUUUUCUGCCUUAAAACUGCUUUUCACCUGGAAGGAGGAAGGAGAAAUGAAAAAAGAACUAAAACAUUAAGUUUAAGCAGCUUUUGAAAACAAGAGAAUCCAGGAAUUAACUUUACCUAUAUUCUCCUGUUCCCAUUUAUUACAAAGGGCUGCAGGAUUUUAAGCAAAGCUUUUCCUGAGGAGUUCAACGAAGUUGCCAGUACGUUUCCAGAGGAGUUCAUCGAACAUGUUCGUCGAAGAUUCCAGUUCAUUUCCUGAGGAGUUCUUCAAAGUUGCCAGUUCGUUUCCUGAGGAGUUCAUCGGACACCUUCCUUGGAGUUGACAGUUUGCUGACUGCCCUACGGAAUGUGGACUCGUGCAUACACACAGUUGCAUAAGUCACUUUUAUAAAUCUUAUAUUCAUAGAUAUGUCUCAUUCAUUCUGUUUCC
This is a long non-coding RNA of Choloepus didactylus (southern two-toed sloth), 601 nucleotides long. RefSeq lists it as uncharacterized. The transcript has 3 exons. Lineage: Eukaryota; Metazoa; Chordata; Mammalia; Pilosa; Megalonychidae. The record is from RefSeq and is a predicted model, not a curated record.